AAUGGUGUAGAUUUAUAUUUUGUAGUACUUUUCAGUUCAGUUAUUCAGAAACACGGCACAUUCUUUACGUGGGAUGAGCAAACUGAACCAACAACAAUCUGAUUCAGACAAUGCAUGAGCUUUUCAAACAAAGGCAUAAAAGACAGCGUGUCUACAUUUUCCAAACAGUAUGAAGAGGAUGAUGAAUGUUUGUUUCUAUGAAUAUUUUGCAAGUAAUGUUUGAUAAGGUAGUUGAGGAGAGAUUUCAUAUACUUGAGUAGGGAGGGGUAUGGUAUUACAAGCCAAAGAACAAGGCUAUGAGAGUGUUCUCACUGCCUUGUUUGCUUGUGAUAUUUUACCACAAUCUUCAGGGUUAAUUCACAAAAUUGCCAUUUCAUCUAUUGCCAACUCGUCCACUCAUCACAGUCUAACUUCAUAGUCUAAUGCCAUUCCACUCAUAAACAUUUUUGUCUAACAAUUUUCUAACAACGAUUCGGUACAAUAGCCACCUUAUUUUUAUUAAUUUGGCCCAAUUAACACUUAUUCAAAUUAGACCAAACACCAACGGUAGGCCUAUAUGGAGUAAAUUCCCUAUUGGACCAACUGGUUAGUAGAUGAAAUGGUGAGCAGACGAAAUGGCACUCAGACAAUGUGGAUAGUGGACGAACUGAUGGUAGACCAAAUGAUAUCAGAUGAAUUGGCAUUAGACGAACUAAAAAAAAAAAACACCCUGAAGAAAGAGAGUCAGGGAGAAUGAGAGUAAAGAGAGAAAUGGAAAGAGAAAGAGACAGGAUAUACAGACAGAAAGGGGAGGGGCAAUUCUGACCAAACCCUUUUACACCUCAGCGAGUCGAAAACGGGCAUUUGCGCAUUUUUGUUCCAGCUACAUAGAUACAUGUAGGUGGUUUGAAUAAAAUGGCUGUUUUGCUUUUCAACUCACCGUACGGCUGCCAUAGAGAAAAUGUGAUUGCGGUAUCAGGGAGAAGGAAAAAUAGAAAUAGAAAGACAGGUUAUGUAGACAGAAAAGAAGGGGAGGGGGGUAAUUCUGACAAAAUCCUGCAGCUAUAUUACAAGCAAAAUUAACAAGGCAAUGAAUAAAGACCGGGAGAGAGAGAACAAAAAACGGUGAAGAAAAGUCUGACAACAAAAUAUAUCCUUUGGAUAGUGACAUUGAAUGAUACUCAGUCUACUUGGCACUGGAAAACCCAACUUACAUGCAUGUAUGCAAUAGACCACUACUAUCACACACAUACAUGGACAAGGGUCUGAACUUCCAGACUAGCUACAUGUACUAGGCCAGACAAUGUUUUUAAAUAACAACAAACAGCUGCAGCCCAUCCCACUCUACUGUCUGACAUCGCUGGUAAUACAUCUCUCUCAGCAUACUGGCAAUACCUUUUGUGUACUCCUAUCCAAAAACGCAUACUACCAAGAAAAAUUGAUUUCAUACAUGUUACAGCACUCAUCGUCACAUCUGGCAAGUAAUAUCAAACGCUUGUCAUUGCUGUGUGAACAAGUGAAUUGUUUAAGGGAUUUCUAAUAUUCAGAGCCAAAGUCCUUGUCAAAACUCUGUAAGCUCAUUCAACCAAUCACCGGGAGUUGCAACAGGAAGUACUCAACCGAUGAAGACUUUUGGACUAUACUGACUUGAAUCACAAGAGGGCAGCAGACAAUUUAAUAAUCAUUGAUCGGAGAAAAGUUAGGAAAUUUAUAGAUUUAGCCGACAAACCCAGAUAACCAGGGGAAUUCCAGCUUCCACCUCCACCAAUAAAGAAAACAAUGAUCACCAAGUGUGCAUAAUUCAUGCAUAGACUUGUCCUGGGAAUUCCAAUCUCUGGAAUGUGAUGGUUUAUCAAGCAUAGCAAACAAAAGCUUGAUUGAAUGGUAAUUACUCAGCUGCUUUAGUGGCAGUGAAACCACACCCCCUGAAUCCCUAUAUUUGUGAUCAGACAACUGCUUGGUGCGAUUAACACUGAAAAUUGGAGGGUUACGAAGAUAGCUGAUUCUUCGCUUGGAUCAAUUUUCAGCACACCAGUGCAAAUGAGUGGUCCCACAC
This is an RNA transcript of Lytechinus variegatus (green sea urchin), 2035 nucleotides long. RefSeq lists it as uncharacterized. The transcript is spliced from 2 exons. NCBI's taxonomy places the organism in Eukaryota, Metazoa, Echinodermata, Echinoidea, Temnopleuroida, Toxopneustidae. The record is from RefSeq and is a predicted model, not a curated record.